Molecule: long non-coding RNA, 1204 nt
Organism: Portunus trituberculatus (swimming crab)
Lineage: Eukaryota; Metazoa; Arthropoda; Malacostraca; Decapoda; Portunidae
Exons: 3
Source: RefSeq, a predicted model, not a curated record
UCCUGCUUGCGUCACGUGAGCGUAUUGCGCGCUGGUUGGGCACAUGGUAAGAACCCAGUGAGCAUGGCGGAGAGAGAGAGAUAAGGGUGUUUACUAGAAGUGUCGUCAGGUGGCGGCGUGUAACUGUUACAAAGAAUGUCUCCAUCUUGUGGUGGUGAUUGAUGCACUACAUAAAGCAGAGUUCAGUGUAAUUAUCUUCCAGCAGUCCACCUCGCCAUGCCCUCUUGUGUUUCUUGUUAAAGCAGGCGCCAAUUAUAAUGCUAUAAAGUGCUUAUACAUUAUUUCAAAGUGAGGUGCGCAUCUUGUUAUUGUGCUUCACACAGCCACUCACUCACGACCCCUGCUUAAAGCCAAACAACCUCCAACCACCAUCGACAAGAGUGUGGACACCUUCGCGAGGAGAGUGUGCACACUUCGCACAUACACACAGCCUGCCAGGCCACGGCCUUCUCCUACAGGCCUGAUGGAUGUGACCUUCAGUGCGAGUAGGCCAUCCGCGUCUACUGGGUGUGUCGGGAGUGUUUGGGAACUCCGCCGUGGUCUUGUUUGAAGUGGUUUUGGUGCACUCACUAGGCCUUCUGCCAUGCCUUACAAGUGUUGCGUUCCUUUAUGUAAAGGGAAUGACAAAAGUGGGCCAAAGGUGUGCUUAUUUUCAUUCCCAAAAGAAGAGAAGCUUGCGCGGGCUUGGCUUCAUGUUAUCAAGCAAGCACACUCCACCCCAACCAAAAGCACCAAGGAUCUCUGCCAGACACCGCAGCUCACCAGUCACCUCCACCACAAGUGUGGACCCCGCUACAGAGACCACCACCACUCAUAAGCUUGAUCUAACAGUGGCCGUUCGGCGUGGAGCAGCCUGGCAACGCCUGAGCCAGUGUGUACAAUGCAGUGAGCACCGCACACACACACACACACACACCAGCGUCGAACGUCGAGGAGGUAAGACGUGGUGUGUUUUGCUCCCGAUUUUUUUAUUUUUUUUUUAUUUCGUUCUUUGUUGUUUUAGCAGGAUGUACGAGAACGACUGUAAGGUAUGCAAAGGUGAGGUGAACAAUAGGAGUAACUCCAUCGCAUGUGAAUGUUGUGGAGAUUGGUAUCACACGCGAUGUGUGGGCCUUAAGGAAGCCAGCCAGAAGGUACUGAGGAACGACUUCCUAAUAGGCCUAUGCCCUGAGUGCCUAGACACUACCAGGGCAUGGUGGGAGGA